This 782-nucleotide long non-coding RNA is filed under the name Homo sapiens (human). RNAcentral's name for it is "HSALNT0185496". Lineage: Eukaryota; Metazoa; Chordata; Mammalia; Primates; Hominidae. The record is from RNAcentral.
AGGACCACACCAUCUGCGCAGCCUGCACCCUCGCGGCCCGGUAAACUUGACAGUUUCUUAUAGAGCACAGAAGCCGUGGUGGUGUCAUGGAAUAUUGUCAAUUUCGGUUACAUUUCAUCAUGGUCAAGUCAACUCCAGGAGGCAGCAUCAUGGACGAUUUGGCUUAUGUUCUGCUUUUGUCUUCUACAGAACCUUGUGUCUCACUGUUGUCUCCUUCCUGGCUGGGGUUAUCACAUGGCAUAUCCAACGGAUUCCAUGGAAAGCUUGUGUUUACCCUCAAUAGUUAGAGACGUACAAGGAUGGAGAGGGAACAGAGCCAUCUUCCCAGAACCAACUUCUGCCAGAGGAGUCCCAUGAUAAUCCCAGCCAAAAGAACGAAAACAUGAGUAAUGGCUGUGACAUAAGAAAAUCCUAAGAGAGAAAACAGAGAAAAAGUUUUACGUGAGCGCCACAUUCCAGUUUGCAGAGUUAAGAUAGAUGAGGACAUUCAUUAAAUUCAUGUAUUAAUUCUAAUUCAAGAUGCACUGAAUUUCCAUCAUGUGAAUCAGAUGUUUUAUUUAUUUCUCUCUCAUUGUAUGGAUAAUGUCUAUAACUAGAGAAUGAGACUCAAUCCUACCUUUUCUUCCAAACUGUCUAUCUUCACUAGGGUGGAGUUCUUGUCUAUGCAGUCCUUUCUACUGUUAGCCCAGGUUUUCUCCUCAUUUGUUGUAAAAUAGUAGCAACUAUUUUGGUACCAUUGCCACAUCUUAGGACAUGGAUUACAUCUGUGGUCUGAAAAGGAA